This 361-nucleotide ribosomal RNA is filed under the name Saccharomyces cerevisiae YJM326. Its description in RNAcentral is "ITS1-40". The record is from RNAcentral. RNAcentral also lists the same sequence under 9 other names. Lineage: Eukaryota; Fungi; Ascomycota; Saccharomycetes; Saccharomycetales; Saccharomycetaceae.
AAGAAAUUUAAUAAUUUUGAAAAUGGAUUUUUUUGUUUUGGCAAGAGCAUGAGAGCUUUUACUGGGCAAGAAGACAAGAGAUGGAGAGUCCAGCCGGGCCUGCGCUUAAGUGCGCGGUCGUGCUAGGCUUGUAAGUUUCUUUCUUGCUAUUCCAAACGGUGAGAGAUUUCUGUGCUUUUGUUAUAGGACAAUUAAAACCGUUUCAAUACAACACACUGUGGAGUUUUCAUAUCUUUGCAACUUUUUCUUUGGGCAUUCGAGCAAUCGGGGCCCAGAGGUAACAAACACAAACAAUUUUAUCUAUUCAUUAAAUUUUUGUCAAAAACAAGAAUUUUCGUAACUGGAAAUUUUAAAAUAUUAA